CACCGCGGUUAUACGAGAGGCCCAAGUUGACAGAGAUCGGCGUAAAGAGUGGUUAAUCGACAAUAAACUAAAGCUGAACAUCUUCCAAGCUGUUAUACGCCCCCGAAGAGAGGAAAGCCCCCAACGAAAGUGGCUUUAACCUAAGAUGACUCCACGAAAGCUAGGACA
RNAcentral lists this ribosomal RNA (168 nucleotides) under Cabillus tongarevae (Tongareva goby). RNAcentral's name for it is "partial 12S ribosomal RNA". Lineage: Eukaryota; Metazoa; Chordata; Actinopteri; Gobiiformes; Gobiidae. The record is from RNAcentral.